This 488-nucleotide ribosomal RNA is filed under the name uncultured bacterium. Its description in RNAcentral is "bacterial SSU rRNA". It matches the Rfam family "Bacterial small subunit ribosomal RNA", at positions 29 to 505 of the family's 1533-position model. The record is from RNAcentral.
AGUGAACGCUGGCGGCAGGCCUAAUACAUGCAAGUCGAACGGCAGCACAGCAGAGCUUGCUCUGUGGGUGGCGAGUGGCGGACGGGUGAGGAAUACAUGGGAAUCUGCCCAGUCGUGGGGGAUAACGUAUGGAAACGUACGCUAAUACCGCAUGCGCCCUACGGGGGAAAGUCGGGGACCGCAAGGCCUGGCGCGAUUGGAUGAGCCCAUGUUCGAUUAGCUAGUUGGCGGGGUAAAGGCCCACCAAGGCGACGAUCGAUAGCUGGUCUGAGAGGAUGAUCAGCCACACUGGAACUGAGACACGGUCCAGACUCCUACGGGAGGCAGCAGUAGGGAAUAUUGGACAAUGGGGGCAACCCUGAUCCAGCCAUGCCGCGUGAGUGAAGAAGGCCCUCGGGUUGUAAAGCUCUUUUGUCCGGAAAGAAAAGCAAUCGGUUAAUACCCGGUUGUUCUGACGGUACCGGAAGAAUAAGCACCGGCUAACUUCG